RNAcentral lists this ribosomal RNA (253 nucleotides) under uncultured bacterium. Its description in RNAcentral is "partial 16S ribosomal RNA". It matches the Rfam family "Bacterial small subunit ribosomal RNA", at positions 524 to 776 of the family's 1533-position model. The record is from RNAcentral.
UACGUAGGGGGCAAGCGUUGUCCGGAAUCAUUGGGCGUAAAGAGCGCGUAGGCGGUCCGGUAAGUCCGCUGUGAAAGUCAAGGGCUCAACCCUGGAAAGCCGGUGGAUACUGUCGGGCUAGAGUCCGGAAGAGGCGAGUGGAAUUCCUGGUGUAGCGGUGGAAUGCGCAGAUAUCAGGAGGAACACCGAUGGCGAAGGCAGCUCGCUGGGACGGUACUGACGCUGAGGCGCGAAAGCGUGGGGAGCGAACAGG